CUUCUUCAAUCUGCUGCUGGAGAAAAUUAUUCGAGCUGCAGAACUUAAUCGAGCAGGUACAAUCUUUUAUAAGAGUGUACAGCUGCUGGCGUAUGCCGAUGAUAUUGAUAUCAUCGGUCUCAACACCCGCGCCGUUAGUUCUGCUUUCUCCAGACUGAACAAGGAAGCAACGCAAAUGGGUCUGGCAGUGAACGAGGACAAGACGAAAUAUCUCCUGUCAUCAAACAAACAGUCGUCGCACUCGCGACUUGGCUCCCACGUCACUGUCGACAGUCAUAACUUUGAAGUUGUAGAUAAUUUCGUCUAUUUAGGAACCAGUAUUAACACCACCAACAAUGUCAGCCUGGAAAUCCUACGCAGGAUUACUCUUGCCAACAGGUGCUACUUCGGACUGAGUAGGCAAUUGAAAAGUAAAGUCCUCUCUCGACGAACAAAAGCCAAACUAUAUAAGUCGCUCAUAAUUCCCGUCCUGCUAUAUGGUGCAGAGGCUUGGACGAUGACAACAACCGAUGAGUCGACGUUGCGAGUUUUCGAGAGAAAAGUUCUGCGAAAGAUUUAUGGUCCUUUGCGCGUUGGCCACGGCGAAUAUCGCAUUCGCUGGAACGAUGAGCUGUACGAGAUAUACGACGACAUUGACAGAGUUCAGCGAAUUCAAAGACAGCGGCUACCCUGGCUAGGUCAUGUUGUCCGGAUGGAUGAAAACACUCCGGCUCUGAAAGUAUUCGACGCAGUACCCGCCGCGGGAAGCAGAGGAAGAGGAAGCCCUCCACUCCGUUGGAAGAACCAAGUGGAGAAGGACCUGGCUUCGCUUGGAAUAUCCAAUUGGCACCACGUAGCGAAGAGAAGAAACGACUGGCGCGCUAUUGUUGACUCGGCUAUAAUCGCGUAAGCGGUGUCUACGCCAGUAAAGAAGAAGAAAUAAGGAAACCGCGGGAAAAGCAACAAUACUCAUCGCAGCCGUGUGCAAAUUUGAUUCUAUCUCUAACUCAUUCAUUCAUUGUCUGCGGCCGACAAACAAAACGCGAAAAUUUCUGUGUGAGAACUUGUGAAGAAUACUACAAGGUCUCAGUGUACAUUCCUUAGUUGGAUUCAAUCGGCGAAGAUUUGAAGACGCGGUUUUUAGAGAAGUAUUGGAUGGAUUUCAACUGAGUUUGCUGCUUCCAGAAAAAGUAUGUGCUUUGAAAACCAAAGAAAUGGAAAAUUGUAUUGACUGCUUGAUAGAUAGAUUCAAAGGCCUUUUGGAUAAUGAGAACGUCAGGCGACGUGUGAAGCUCAAAGUUGAACUUUAUCACUGGGAGUGCCAUUGAGGGCAGAAGCAAAAGUUAAAAGACAACAAGUUAUCGAUACAUGCAUCAUGACAUUGAAGUCACUGCAGAAGAAGUUCUCGGUUUAAAAAUUUUUCACCAUCAUAUUAAACUGUAUAAAGAUAUCUUUAAUACAAUAGUAUUCAUGUCAAGUAAAUGUUGUAUGAAAGUAGGUGAGCUUGCGAUCGAAGAAAGCGAAAGUGUAGGUGCUAACUAGAGCUCCCACUCCAGGGCUCCCGAAAUCCCGGACCUAAAACUCCUCCCGGGAUAUUCGGGAUUUUUGUCCUUUUUUUUUAAACACUGUUAAUUAUUAUUUUUUCAUAAACAAAGUUGUAUUUACAAUAGAUGAACAUUGCCAAAAAACAAAUAGUAAGAAUUUAGUACUUCACUGUCUGAUCAAAGUUGCAGCACUGGUUUGAUCAGCUGUUAUUUGGCAAGUUGUAGCAUGUGCCAAGCAUACGAUCAACCGCACUGCAUUUUGCAAAUCACUUACACUUGUGCUUAUUGUAUAAAUUGUAAAAAUGGAAUGUAAGUACUAAAUAUUUUAAUUAUAAAUGUUAAAAUAACAAUUUUUCAUUCAGUUAGACAAAUCGUCAACAUGGUUUUAUUUUCUAAUAUCAACAAGUUCAGAGGAAGCCAAGUGCAAAAAAUGUAAUGCAGUCCUCAAAACAAAGGGUGGUUCAACAAAAGGAUUACACGAACAUUUAAAGGUUCAUGGCAUAAAAUUGUGCCGCGAAGCAACUCCUACAAUUGCUGUUCCCAAGAAAGUGGCAAAAAUUACUUCACAUUUUUCACCAAAAAAUGAAGAAAAUAUUCGUGCUAUUAUGGCCAGUUUUUUAGCUGUGGAUGGAUUAGCAUUUUAAACCAUUGCGCUGUCAAAACAAAUCAGAAAAGGUAUUGAAGCCACAAAAUUUAAAGUCAAUCAGAAAAUAUGUAAUGGAAUAUUUUGAAGAAUGUCGCGAAAGAGUGAAGAAAGAAAUAAUCGAUUUGAAAGUGAAAAAUAAUAGAUAUAGCAUUUCAUUCGACGAAUGGACUUCUGUGGCCAAUAAACGCUACUUGAAUUUAAUACUGCAUGGUCAAAAAAACAUAUGAAACUUGGGACUCGUCCGAAUAAAAGGUGCCGCAACUUCUGAAAACUACAUUGAUAUGAUUGAAUCUCGUUUGUAGAUUAUGACUUGAGUUUAGCAACUGAUAUUAUUUCUAUUAUCACGGAUGAUGCCUCAACUAUGUUGAAAAUUGGCAAACUCAUAGGUCCACAUCAACAGCUGUGCCUGGCACAUGGAAUACAGUUAGGUAUCCUUGAUGUGAUGUACAAAAGACAAAUAAGAAUUGAGCCAAAUGAAAUUUCUAAAUGUGAAGAUGAUGAUUCCGAAGAAGAUACGAGAGAUCAAACUGAUUGCAUACAGUUAGCUGAUAAUGAAGAACGUGGAGAACUUACGAAUUUGAUAUCAAAAAAUGAAAUUUUACAAAAAUAUGUGAAAAUGGAGUUGGAGCUCAUCCUAGAUUGUCAGACUCGGUGGAACAGUUAACUAAAAAUGAUCGAACGGUUUCAUAUGCUGGAGUCUUGUUUGAAAAAAAGCGAUGGUCGACCUUAAGGCAGAUUGCUUGGAAGAUUUUGAAUUUAAUAUUAUUAAAAGCAUUAUUAAAGUUUUAAAGCCGGCAGAGUUAGUUAUAGAAGCUUUGUGUCGCCGUGACAUGAACCUCUGUUCUGCUGAUGCAAUGAUACAUUUUAUGCUGGACGAAGUUAAAAAUGUGGACUUAUCAAUAGCUUUCAAUCUUUUUGAAUCAAUUAAAAAACGCGUUUCUGUAAGGCGCACAAUAUACACGAAUAUAUUGAAACUAUUAAUAACGGGAAAUUUUGUAAGUACCACAAAUGAACCGAAUUUAGAAGAAAUGACAAACACUAUUGAUGAAAUUGUCAAAAAGUACAAUACUAAUGAUGUUGAGAAUCGCGAUAUCGAUUUAAAAAUAAUCGAAAAUGAAAAGACAAAAAACGUUGAAGGAAAGGUUGCAAGAAACUGUCAAAGAAUCUCUCGUUUUAAAAAGAGAUGUCUCAUUAUCA
Long non-coding RNA from Bactrocera dorsalis (oriental fruit fly), 3366 nucleotides. RefSeq lists it as uncharacterized. NCBI's taxonomy places the organism in Eukaryota, Metazoa, Arthropoda, Insecta, Diptera, Tephritidae. The record is from RefSeq and is a predicted model, not a curated record. The transcript has 3 exons.